UCGGUCGGCCGGACGGUCGCCGCCGGGCGGGGGCAACCUCGUUUGGGGGAGGAAAGUCCGGGCUCCAUAGGGCGCGGUGGUGGGUAACGCCCACCCCCCGUAACGGUCAGGGCCCCGGCCCGGAUCGCCAAGGGGCGGGACAGUGCAACAGAAAGUAAACCGCCCGGGCUCCGGCCCGGGUAAGGGUGAAAAGGUGCGGGGCGAAAGCCCUUAAUGUAAGAGCGCACCAGCGGCGGGGUGACCCGUCGGCUCGGCAAACCCCACCGGGAGCAAGGCCAAGCAGGGGGACAGGGUCGGCCCGGCCCGUCACGAACCCCCGGGUAGGCUGCUCGAUCCCGCGGGUAACCGCGGGGCUAGAUAAAUGACCGUCACCGCCCGGCAACGGGCGGGACAAAACCCGGCUUACAGGCCGGCCGGCAAA
RNAcentral lists this RNase P RNA (421 nucleotides) under Fimbriiglobus ruber. Its description in RNAcentral is "Bacterial RNase P class A". It matches the Rfam family "Bacterial RNase P class A". From Rfam's summary of the family: Ribonuclease P (RNase P) is a ubiquitous endoribonuclease, found in archaea, bacteria and eukarya as well as chloroplasts and mitochondria. Its best characterised activity is the generation of mature 5'-ends of tRNAs by cleaving the 5'-leader elements of precursor-tRNAs. The record is from Rfam by way of RNAcentral. Lineage: Bacteria; Pseudomonadati; Planctomycetota; Planctomycetia; Gemmatales; Gemmataceae.